CGGAGGGUGCAAGCGUUGCUCGGAAUCACUGGGCGUAAAGGGUGCGUAGGCGGUCUCGCAAGUCUGGCGUGAAAGCCCAAGGCUCAGCCUUGGAAGUGCGCUCGAAACUGCGAGGCUGGAGUGCCGGAGGGGAGAGUGGAAUUCCCGGUGUAGCGGUGAAAUGCGUAGAGAUCGGGAGGAAUACCGGUGGCGAAAGCGACUCUCUGGACGGCAACUGACGCUGAGGCACGAAAGCGUGGGGAGCAAACAGGAUUAGAUACCCUGGUAGUCCACGCCGUAAACGAUGGACACUAGGUGUCGGGGGUAUCCACUCCCUCGGUGCCGCCGCUAACGCAGUAAGUGUCCCGCCUGGGAAGUACGGUCGCAAGAUUA
Molecule: ribosomal RNA, 372 nt
Filed under: uncultured organism
Description: bacterial SSU rRNA
Rfam family: Bacterial small subunit ribosomal RNA
Source: RNAcentral